UGGGGAAUAUUGGACAAUGGGCGCAAGCCUGAUCCAGCCAUGCCGCGUGAGUGAUGAAGGCCCUAGGGUUGUAAAGCUCUUUCACCGGUGAAGAUAAUGACGGUAACCGGAGAAGAAGCCCCGGCUAACUUCGUGCCAGCAGCCGCGGUAAUACGAAGGGGGCUAGCGUUGUUCGGAUUUACUGGGCGUAAAGCGCACGUAGGCGGACUAUUAAGUCAGGGGUGAAAUCCCGGGGCUCAACCCCGGAACUGCCUUUGAUACUGGUAGUCUUGAGUUCGAGAGAGGUGAGUGGAAUUCCGAGUGUAGAGGUGAAAUGCGUAGAGAUUAGGAGGAACACCGGUGGCGAAAGCGGCUUUUUGGCCUGCAACUGACACUGAGGCGCGAAAGCGUGGGGAGCAAACAGG
RNAcentral lists this ribosomal RNA (404 nucleotides) under Verrucomicrobiota bacterium. Its description in RNAcentral is "Verrucomicrobia bacterium partial 16S ribosomal RNA". It matches the Rfam family "Bacterial small subunit ribosomal RNA", at positions 355 to 776 of the family's 1533-position model. The record is from RNAcentral. Lineage: Bacteria; Pseudomonadati; Verrucomicrobiota.